Molecule: long non-coding RNA, 5315 nt
Filed under: Hordeum vulgare
Lineage: Eukaryota; Viridiplantae; Streptophyta; Magnoliopsida; Poales; Poaceae
Description: long non-coding RNA (HVUL_LNC017353)
Source: RNAcentral
CCGGCAUUGACAUCCUCCGAGACCUCCGUGCUCUACUCCUACAAGGCAACCAGAUAAGAGGCUUCAUCCCACUAGGCCUAGCAAAUCUCACAAAAUUACGCUCCUUGAUGCUUCAUGAAAACCAAGUCUCCGGUGAAAUACCAAGGCAAAUAGGCAACAUGAGUAAUCUUGACACUCUCACCUUGUCGGUCAAUCACUUGGUUGGUCACAUCCCCUUUGAAAUAGGCCACCUAAAGCACUUGGUUACAUUAGAUUUUUCCGAUAAUAGUCUUUCCGGCUCAAUCCCAAGCAAUAUAGGUGGCUUGACAAAACUCGCUACCUUGUACCUCGACGCCAACCAACUCUUUGGACGCGUCCCUCGAGAGCUUGGUCAUUUGGUCAAUUUAAAGGACUUGGGUCUUAGCCGAAACAAGCUGACAGGUUCCAUCCCAAAUAACUGGAGAAAUUUAACAAAACUCAAUGCCUUGUAUUUUGGACAGAACCAACUUUCUGGGCAAAUUCCACAAAAUUUAGGUUAUCAAGUGAAUUUAGAGGUCUUGGAUCUUUGUGAAAACACAUUCUCAGGUUCCAUUCCAAUAAAUUUGUUUAAUUUGACCAAGCUCACUAUCUUAUAUCUAUGGGGCAACAGACUCUCUGGUCAGAUUCCACGAGAAUUAGGCCGCCUUUUGAACUUGGAGGAACUAGAACUUAAUACAAACACACUCUCGGGUUCUAUCCCAAUCACCAUAGGCAAUUUGACCAAACUCAAUAGAUUGCACCUUUUCCAGAACCAACUUUCGGGGCAAAUUCCACGAGCACUAGGUUAUAUGAUGAACUUACAAGAAUUGGCUCUAUAUGAAAACACACUCUCAGGGCACAUUCCAAGAAAUUUAUGUAAUUUGACAAAGCUCACUCUCUUACGUCUUUGGGGCAACAGAUUUUCUGGUCACAUUCCACGAGAAUUAGGUUACCUUGUGAACUUAGAUGUCUUGGAUCUUAGUUCAAACACACUCUCAGGUUCUAUCCCAGUCACCAUAGGGAACCUGACAAAACUCAAUAUAUUAAGACUUCCUCAGAACCAACUUUCGGGGCAAAUACCACGAGAGCUGGGUUACCUUGUGAACUUAGAGGAGUUGGAUCUUAAUAUUAACACACUAUCAGGUUCCAUCCCAAACAACUUAGGAAGUUUGAUAAAGCUCACCACGUUACGCCUUGCACAAAACCAACUCUCUGGAUCUAUUCCUCAAGGAAUUGGCAAGUUAAUGAGUCUAGUUCAACUGCAACUCGCUUUUAACAACCUCUCUGGUUCCUUGCCAUCUGGUCUUUGUGCGGGAGGUCGGCUACAAAAUUUUACCGUUACCGAUAACAACUUGGUUGGACCCUUGCCGUCAAGCUUGCUAAGUUGUACAAGCCUAGUGAGGGUUCGACUUGAUCGGAAUAACCUCGAAGGAGAUAUCACCAAGAUGGGAGCUCAUCCAAAUCUUGUCUAUAUUGAUAUAAGUUCAAAUAAACUAUUUGGUAAACUAUCUCAUCGUUGGGGUGAGUGCUAUAAUCUUACCGUGCUACGUGCAUCAAAAAACAAUAUAGCCGGAGUAAUACCGUCAAGCAUUGGGAAAUUAUCCUGGUUGGGGAUACUUGAUUUUUCAUCAAAUAAGCUUGAAGGACAAGUUCCUCCAGAAAUUGGCAAUAUGAGGAUGUUGUUUAGUUUGAGCCUUUUUGGCAACUUGCUCCAGGGAAAUAUGCCAGAAGAAAUUGGAUCACUGAACAAUCUGGAGUAUCUUGAUUUAUCAUCAAACAACCUAACAGGGAAGAUACCAGGAUCAAUUCGGCAUUGUCUGAAGCUUCACUUUCUAAAGUUGAGCCAUAAUCACCUCAAUGGUACCAUUCCUAUCGAGCUAGGGAUGUUGGUAAACCUACAAGAUUUGUUGGAUCUAAGUGAAAAUUCAAUUGAUGGCGCUAUUCCAAGUCAACUAGGUGCUCUUACUAUGCUUGAAGCCUUGAAUCUUUCUCACAAUGCACUGAACGGUAGCAUUCCACCAUCAUUUCAGAGCAUGAACAGCCUCCUAUACAUGGAUAUGUCGUACAACCAAUUAGAAGGGUCAGUGCCGCAUACUAGGCUUCUUGAAGAGGCUCCAAUCAAAUGGUUCAAGCAUAAUAAGAAAUUGUGUGGUGUCGUAACAGGUUUGCCCCCUUGUGAUCUUCCUCGAAGUAGUGAACAAGGGAAAACGUCUGGAGCUAUUGUACUCUCUGUAAUAGCCGCUAUUGCAUCUCUCGUGUUUUUCACUGCACUAGUAACAUGGCGCUGCAAAAAGAAGAAAACCAAGACAGAAACAACAGAUGAAUUACAACAAACUAAGAUGUUCGCCAUCUGGAACUUUGACGGGGAGGAUGUGUACAAGAAAAUUGUUGAUGCCACAGACAAUUUCAGCAACGCUCAUUGCAUUGGAUCUGGAGGGAAUGGAUCAGUCUACAGAGUUCAGUUAUCAACAGGUGAAUUGUUUGCAGUGAAAAAGCUCCAUAGGGUGGAAGAUGACGAGCAAUUUAACCGUGAAGUACAUGCAUUGAUGCAUAUUAGACAUCGCAACAUUGCAAAGUUAUUUGGUUACUGCUCCGCAACCCAAGGAAGAUUUCUUGUGUAUGAAUACAUGGAUAGAGGAAGCUUAUCAAAAUCUUUGGAGGAUACAGAAACUGCAGUUGAAUUGGAUUGGCCGAGGAGGUUAAAUAUUGUUUGGGAUGUUACUCAUGCUUUGUCUUACAUGCAUCACAACUGCUUCGCACCUAUCGUCCACCGAGAUAUAAAAAGCAACAACGUUUUGCUUGACCUGGAAUUUAAAGCCUGCAUCUCAGAUUUUGGUCUAGCGAAAAUACUAGAUGUGGAUGCAUCAAACUGCACAAGUCUUGCGGGGACAAAAGGAUAUCUUGCCCCAGGUAAAAUUAUAUAUCUAUGUUGGUUACAUCAAUAAUCUUCUCAUUGUUUCAAGUACCUCGCUAGGUUUUAACUCCCUAAUGUUGUUUGUUUCAGAGCUUGCAUACACAACAAGGGUAACGGAGAAGUGCGACGUUUAUAGCUUUGGGAUACUUGUUCUAGAGCUGUUCAUGGGACAUCAUCCAGGCGAUUUCCUUUCUUCCGUGGACAACAACAACAAAAGUACAUCGAUUGAGAAAUUGCUGGACACCCGGCUCCCACUCCCUGAAGCUGAGGUCGCAAGUAAGAUAUUUCAAGUGGUUGCCAUCGCUGUUCAGUGCAUAGAGCCUGAUCCAUCACACCGUCCGACGAUGCAGCAAGUAACCAAGGUGUUGUCAACAGCUGAACGUCCUGCUAACAAUCUUGAUUAUCUCCACACUAGCAUUGCCAUCCCUGCCUGCUGGUCGUGAAUGUUCAUCUGAUUAUCACAUCAUUUUAUUCGCUAGAUAGUUUGUUUUGUGCUAUAUAUCUUUCGCAGCUGCUGUUUGGCAAUUAGCUGCAUAUAAAUAUAUUCUUGUAUGGCAGAGCUCCUGCUAUUUCUGUAAAACAUUGAUAAAUAAAUCCAUCUGCAUCCUCUCUCGGACGUCUCCUUUUGGUCCUUGUAGCCUUACAAGAUGCUCAAACCUUUUAGCCUUUGACCAAAUUUUUGAAUGACAACAUCUCCAACUGGGGAUGCAAAGUUAUGUUGUUCCGAUAAACGCAUACGGGUAUGAACUUGUCAAUUCAUCUUAAAUGUAGUGCUCUCUCGAGUUAUUUGGUAUUUAAUUUCAUGCACUCAUGUGACGAUGGAGCGCUAAAUUUUUCAAUAACUAGCGUGAGUAUUUACACCAAGCUCAUUUCUAUACAUGUUGCCAUGUUUUUUAUAACAAUGUUUUAUAAUACAUAAAUAUGAUGGUUUUGAACCAAGGAGGCGAUUUUUGCUACAUACUUUAAAGUAUGAAGGGAAUGGAGCUCUAAACAAUAUCCCAGAGAUGGAACAAAGCAUGUAGAGAGAAUCGUCAAAGAAUAAGUAGUAGAUAAUGUUGCUUAGUUGUUGUUUUUUAACAUUUUCUAACUAAUUAGAAUAUAUUUGCAAGAUAAUAAAUUAUGUAAAGACAUGUGUGCUGAUCAUGUGUUACACCACAUCGUUGGGCAUGACACACAUUUCAAUAGCUUAGUAAAAAACUAGCUGCAGAGAAAUAAGAUUCAAAAUAGAUAUUUCCACUAUAGAUUAUGAUACGUCUGUUGUGCAUGAUUACUAGUGGUAAAAAGAAAAGAAAAGGAAUCGUAAACCGAAUUCUUAAUUGAUUUUACAAACAACACUGCAUUGUGUUAAGUAACGUUGUUUACAUACAUAUAAAAUACAUCCGGAGGUUGAAUAAGCCAUACAUGAUAAUCCUCCGGAUGAGAAACUCGAAAGCAAGAUAAACUAUGAGGUUUUAUAUUUUAUGUUAGGGUCGACUCUAUGUUUUCAAGGGCCCCUAGGUCCAAGUCGGUGACUUGGUCCCUUAAGGUUGUGUACUACUGCUAAGUAAUACUCCAUCCGUUUUUAAAUAUAAGUUUUUGUAGAAGUUUCACUAAUGAACUAUAUACGGAUGUAUAUAGACAUACCAUGGAGCGUAGAUUCAUUCAUUUUGUGUUCGUAUAUAGAUCCCUAAUAAAAUCUUUUAAAAAAACUUAUAUUUAGAAACAGAGUGAGUACUAGUACUAGUGCAUUGUGAAACCACUAGUUGAAGAGAAUUUGACAGUAGCCUAGUAAUACACCAUGCGGCCAUGAUUCGACACCCGUCGAGAGCGGAUUUCUGACAACUCACCCGCAUGAGCAUCUUCUAUAAAAGUAUGUCUUGAAAGUUACUGCUUACGGAUCUACUCUCUCCGUUUUAAAAUAAGUGUCUUAAGCUUAGUACAACUUUGUAUUAAAACUAGUACAAAAUUGAGACCGUUAUUUUGAGACCGAGGGAAUACUUUUUUUAAAAACCAUUAGGGUAAACUUCCAAUAUGAGCAAUUAACCUAGUGUAUCAAAGUUUCAGGUCACCCACGAUCAGAUACAGUCGUCAAAGCUAAGCAGAACAAAGUUUGCGGCCUUGACAGAAUAUGUGGACGGGAACAGUAGAACUGGCUACCAUUGUUGUAUACUGGACUGUCACAAUUAAGAUCUGCAGAAACAUGCAUCAGCUAGCUUGCUUGACGGACUUACCUUACAGCAGUGCAGGGUGCCGGUGGCGGCGAAGGGAGCUGGUGACGACAGAGAGGGGUACGGCACUGUUUCCAUGGAGGGCUUCGGCGGCGGCGGCGGAGGAUCGUAGGGCACCACCGAGGACGGCGCCGCUGCGGCGCGUGUGCGAUCGACCAAGGUGGAGACCGAUGGCAUUCUUUUCGUCCCUAUAUGGG